Non-coding RNA from Lactuca sativa (garden lettuce), 1810 nucleotides. The record is from RefSeq and is a predicted model, not a curated record. Lineage: Eukaryota; Viridiplantae; Streptophyta; Magnoliopsida; Asterales; Asteraceae.
UCUGAUUGGACCAAAACCAAUUUCUUUUUAUUUUUUAUUUUAUGAUCGGUCCUCCACCGCCGUUGCCUCCAAUAAGAUCGUAGCUUCCACCGCUUCUUUUUUACUUCUCGAUCCUUCAAUCAAUCACCGCUCACUUGAUCUUCCCUCGCCGCUCCACUGUUUUAACCUCCACCGCCUCAUCUUCUACUAUUGCUUUCAAUUUCAUCUCUCAAAUCGAUCCGUCUUCCACUGCUUCGAAGUCGAUGUUGCCUCCUCUCCUAAAAACCUCCAGCUUGUCGAACCUUUCUCUCCCAUGUCGCACCUCGCACCAUACAAACCGGUGUUCCUCGAAUUCCCAUCUUUUUAGUUAUCAUCGUCAGCGCCUUUGGUAUUGUGUGUUAUGUUCAAGUCGUCUAACAAAGGAGACUGCGCAAGAUUCAAGCUCUCAAUUUUCACAGUUGCUGAUGUGCCCCCCUUUCUAUCAGAAGCGUCAACAUCAACUAAACCCUAGAUCGAUUUGAUACCUAUGCCUAUGCCUGCCUCUUUUUACCAGUGUCGGCCCCGUCCGAGGAAACAACGACAAUACAUAUUGAUUGCAUCCGGGAUGACAGGACCAAGAAAGGUGUAUCGCAUUUUAGUGUGCAUGGAGUAUCGAAAGAUUCAUAUUGCCUGCUUCUUCGUCACUUCUAAUAAGAUAUUGGUUCUAUUUUUCGCUCUGUUUUCCUAAAUACUAGAUGAAGUUCGCUUCUUUUUUUUUAUAUGUUCAACGUUAUGAUUUUGGGAUUCAUAACAGAAAGAUGGAUAAUAAAAAUAAGGUUGCAGGUUUUUAUUGAUGACCGAUUUUUUUUUUUUUUUUGUUUAAGGAUUCAAAGGGAAGUCUCCACUUGGAAAUUUGAAGAUUAAUUCAAAUCAUUACCAAAAACGACAAAAGUUCUGUUAGAUUUCAUUAUAAUUGUUUCGCACUGAACCAAUGGUUAAGAGAGUUUGGCUCAAGAGCAAUUGAAAACAUACAUGGAACAUGAAGUUCUGGAAAAAGAGAUUGGAAGACUGCAUGCAUAAUAAUUGUUAUUGCACGACUUAUAGAAGCAGGUUUUUCUGUUGGGACAGAGAUUUUGUUGACAUUCAAUGGGGGGAACUUCAUUGGCAUUUCGAUAUAAAUGAGAUUUACGAAGUCUUGAAGUUAGUUGUACCAUAAGUCAUGGUAUUUGUGCUUAUGAAAUUCUUAUAUAUUCUUUUAAACACUUUACUACUUAUUUUUUUCCUUAAUCUAGGGGCAAUCGGGCAAUAGGCAAAUGAUUGGUUCCAAACACUUGGUUGUUAUACUAAGGGGGUGUUUGGAUAGGAAAAAAAGAGGUGUUUAUUGCUUAUUCCCAUAAUAAGCUAACUUUGAGUGUUUAAAUAUGCUAAUUUUAAUAAGCAUCUCUCCCCAUGCUUAUUGCUUAUUGCUUAUUCCCACCACAAAUAAGCUAAUAAGCAAUAAGCUAAUAAGCUAAUCCAAACACCCCCUAAGUAAAGAUUUAUAGUGAAAAAGAACAUUGCAAAGUCCAAUUCAAAUGCAGCUUACUACUAGCUACUAUAAAUACAUCCACCUUUCUGGGUAUAACAAUCUAUAGAUGGAUCGAUAUAUAUGAAACUGAAAGCAUUUUUUUGGUCAGCGUCUGGACCAUUUUUUACGUUGGCGCAGUUUUGGUGAAGUUCACUCUUUUGGUAUUAACUCAAGAUCAUUCUGAGUGGAAUAGGUAGAAGUUGAUACUGAGAUAGAUUAUAAGGGGAUGGAAAUAUUACUUACUGGCACAAAAAAUUCUAGCUUCACUUUUGCUAUUACCAGGCA